Molecule: long non-coding RNA, 606 nt
Organism: Helianthus annuus (common sunflower)
Lineage: Eukaryota; Viridiplantae; Streptophyta; Magnoliopsida; Asterales; Asteraceae
Exons: 2
Source: RefSeq, a predicted model, not a curated record
UAUAUACACACAUAAUAUCCCUUUUUGCUACAAGAACAUUGUUCAUUCUCAAAUUCUAGAUACAAAAAAAUGGAUGGAAAAGGAAAGAAUGGAGAGAAGAAAGAGAAAACCAUGAUUCCACCAAGGAGGGGUCAAGUUAAAGAGAGGAUAUUUCAUGAAUUGGGAGAGAAAAUCCUCAAAAUCAAACUUGGUGGAGGAGGGAAUGUAAGGCAGAAUCAAGUCUCUUCAUCUUCAGAGGAUUAGAUUUUUGUCCCACCAACUAAGAGAUAGAGCUUGAAUGGAGUGAUUAUGGAGACAGGUUCUUGGUGAAAAUAAUGAUGGUGUCAUUGAUGGAGAUUCACAUUAGUUCUAUGUUAUGCUGCUAUAAGGGUAGAGACAAGACAUUUCUAGCUAGAAGAUGAUGUAGAUGUUAUAGCUAAGAACUUUAAAAUACAAGAUCAUAUAUGUACGAGUGAUAAGGGCAAUAUCUUAGAUUCCUAGUUUAGUCGUGUUUAUGAUCCAGUAGACACGCUAUACUUGUUUUGGUUAUUCGACAUUGUAACCAGUGUCACAUGUAUAAACUUACAACAUCUUAAUCAACAUCUUUUAUUUAUUUGUUCUUUUAAA